UUAAACAUAGUGGACAUCGACGCAUCAGUUCGCUAAAACGUAAACUGCGUUAUCUAAACAGCCGGCCCGUCUUCUUGCGCCAUUUCAUUCACCUCUGCAAACGAUUCUCCCUGUCCCACCGCCAACUGCCCCACAUGCACAUACGCAGAAUUGUAUGUAUAUAUAUAUAUUUAGGUGUAUAUAUAGAUGUCAUCGGCCAAAUCUUCGGCAGCCCUCAUUCGUAGAUGGACAGAGUAGUAUCACUGAAUCCGAUCAUCACCACCACUCUGUUCAUCUUCUCAUUUACGCUGAUCAUGAGCAAUACUAUGGUCACAGCAGGUGCUUGCACCCCGAAGGACUCGGGCCCUGUGAUUCCCACGACUCCUCUGAUCACGUUUCUCGAAGGGGUUCAAGAAGCAGCUCUGAAGACUUAUGGGCACAAGGGCUUUGAUCCAAAACUGUACGUCGAUAUGUCACUGAAGCAAAACCUCUCAACAACAGUCGCAGCCUUUGACAAACUAACCAGAACAGCGAAUGGUUCGAUUUCAGUGGAAGAAUUGAAUGGUUUCCUGGAGAAAUAUUUGGGUGGUGCGGCGGAGGAUUUGGUGUAUGUAGACCCCGUUGACUUUGUGGCGGAGCCCGAAGACUUCUUGCCUAAAGUGAAGAGCCCAGAGGUGAGGGCUUGGGCCUUGGAGGUGCAUAGCCUCUGGAAAAAUUUGAGUAGGAAGGUUUCGGGCCAGGUCCUUGAGAAGCCCGAUUUCUAUACAUUGCUCCCUUUGGAGAACCCUGUUAUUAUUCCCGGGUCAAGGUUCAGGGAGGUUUACUAUUGGGAUUCUUACUGGGUGAUCAGGGGGUUGUUAGCAAGUAAAAUGUACGAGACGGCAAAAGGGAUUGUGUAUAAUCUCAUUUCCCUCAUAGAUGAAUUCGGUCAUGUUCUCAAUGGUGCAAGGGCAUACUACACGAAUCGAAGCCAACCUCCUUUGCUGAGCUCAAUGGUUAUAGAUAUAUACAAUCGCACACAUGACGAAACCUUGGUUAUAAGAUCACUUCCUGCAUUGGUGAAGGAGCACGAGUUUUGGAAUUCAGGGAUGCAUCAGGUGAAUAUCAUGGAUGCUGAUGGUACGAAUCACAGUCUAAGUCGAUAUUACGCAUUGUGGAAUCAACCAAGGCCCGAGUCAUCAACUACCGACAGGGAAACAGCUUCGAAACUCUCAAAUAACUGUGAUAAAACACAACUAUAUCGUGAACUAGCGUCCGCUGCUGAAUCUGGGUGGGAUUUCAGUACCCGAUGGAUGAGGAAUGAGUCUGAUCUAGCAACAUUAACUACAACAUCAAUUAUACCUGUGGAUUUGAAUGUAUUCAUUUUGAAGAUGGAGCUCGAUAUAUCCUUUCUGGCACAUGUUGUCGGAGAUGCUGUAACGGCUGGACGCUUUAGUGAAGCUUCUCAGGCUAGAAAAAAGGCCAUAAACUCUACUCUGUUUUGUGCGGAGAUGCAACAGUGGCUCGAUUACUGGUUGAGUGACUCCAACCCAUCGAAGGAGGAGGUGUAUACAUGGAGACGUUCAGGCCAGAAUCAGAAAUUAUUUGCGUCAAACUUCAUUCCCUUGUGGAUUGAACUGUUUAAUUCAGAUGUCAAGAUGGUGGAUGAUGUCGUCCUAAGUCUACAAAAUUCUGGUUUGGUUCGCUCGUUUGGGAUUGCGACUUCUUUGACAGACUCGGGACAACAAUGGGAUUUUCCUAAUGGUUGGGCUCCUCUCCAGCACAUGAUCGCCGAAGGCCUUGUAAGGUCAGGGUCAAAACACGCAAGAUGUGUUGCCAAAGAUAUUGUUGUUAAGUGGACCAGGACAAACUAUGUGGCUUAUAAGAAAACUGGAGCGAUGCAUGAAAAGUACGACGUGGAAAAAUGUGGAGGCUUUGGAGGGGGCGGGGAAUAUAUACCCCAAACGGGAUUUGGCUGGUCGAACGGAGUCGUCUUAGCAUUCUUGGAGGAAUUCGGAUGGCCAGAAGACCUGAAACUUGACUGUUAAUAACCAAGAAAAGCAAAGUGUUGAGGUUCUAGACCGGUAAAGUGUAUUAAGAAAGCCGAAAUAAUAUUCACUAAAAUGUAGUGAAAUUAUUCCACAAGAAGAGGUUAGAUUCAGGGGAUACAGUAAAUAGCAGUAGAUACAUUUGAAAGUAUUGAUGAGACAAUGCGGUUAACCUGUACACAGAGCAUAUAUCAAUGUUUGAAAUGUUGAGCCUGCUUUUAUGUAGCAGUGAGUGAUCUGUGGGGAUUAUGAGCUAAAACUGUCUUCUCUGCUCAUUGUUAACAAGCUAUACCUGUACUAUUUAUAAAUUCGGGUAAACAUCACAUUUGGUUCCUCAA
RNA transcript from Sesamum indicum (sesame), 2344 nucleotides. It is a transcript of the gene named putative trehalase, with no coding region annotated. Lineage: Eukaryota; Viridiplantae; Streptophyta; Magnoliopsida; Lamiales; Pedaliaceae. The record is from RefSeq and is a predicted model, not a curated record.